Molecule: non-coding RNA, 268 nt
Organism: Pelobates cultripes (western spadefoot toad)
Lineage: Eukaryota; Metazoa; Chordata; Amphibia; Anura; Pelobatidae
Source: the annotation of a GenBank genome assembly
CGUUAAUCAACAGUUUAAUUUUGCACAGCACAGAAUUGCAAAUUGACUUUUUUUUUUACCUCUGCUUCAGUGCUGCUCCUCACCUAGAGAAAAAAAUGAUCUUUUAGCUGUAAUUCCAUUUGACUCUCUUAAGCGUGGAUUAAUGCAUGCAGAUAUGUUGAACAUCAUUCAGAUGAAGGGGGUAGGAGAAGAUACAAAUACUGGGUAUUGUCCAGAAAACAAAAUAGUGAUCCAACUAAUUGCAUUUUAUAAUGAUGCGAAUUGUUAG